This 720-nucleotide long non-coding RNA is filed under the name Rattus norvegicus (Norway rat). RNAcentral describes it as "long non-coding RNA NONRATT012292". Lineage: Eukaryota; Metazoa; Chordata; Mammalia; Rodentia; Muridae. The record is from RNAcentral.
GGAGGGCCGCGGCCGGCGGCUUGCGAGCCGCAGCCGGAGCCGGACCGGGCUGCCCCGGGAGCAACGCGCCGCUGCCUAUUCGGGGUGGAGCCCAGCCGUGGCCCCAGGGUUGUGAGCCCCGGUCCAGCCCCUCCAUCUCCCUGCCCUCCUGAUGAGGCCAUGGGCUCUGGCAGUGACUAAGUGGCCGCCCUCUGCCCCCGUGGGUCACUGUCGAGUCUCUACGAGACCUAGCAGCAGCCCAGGCCAGCUCUGGGGAAGCUGCUGCCCCGACCGCCACACCUCUCUGUAGAGGAGCACCGAGCUUCAGAAGCUCCUGCCGGCAGGAGCCCCCGAAUGCUGCACCCAGCCACCCAGCAGAGCCCGUUCAUGGUUGAUCUCCACGACCAGGUGCACCAGGGACCUGUCCCUCUGUCCUACACAGUCACCACAGUGACAACCCAAGGCUUCCCUUUGCCUGCAAGCCAACAUAUCCCUGGCUGCAGUGCCCAGCAGCUCCCAGCAUGCUCCGUGAUGUUCAGUGGGCAGCACUACCCCCUCUGCUGCCUCCCGCCUCCGGUGAGUGAAUGCUUUCUUCUGCCCAGGUACAUGCUACACUACACUGUCCCUUCCAGCAGAUGUGGUCACAAGCACCCUUAGGAACUGACCUAGGUGCCUAUGCAGUACAUUAGCUUGGCCUUGUGGCCCUGGCCCUUUCCAGAGCUCUGUGUGUGUGUGUGUGUG